GUCCCUGUAGCUCAACCGGACAGAGCACCUGCCUUCUAAGCAGGUGGCUGCGGGUUCGAGUCCCGCCAGGGACGCCA
This 77-nucleotide transfer RNA is filed under the name Chloroflexota bacterium. RNAcentral describes it as "Chloroflexi bacterium (groundwater metagenome) tRNA-Arg". It matches the Rfam family "tRNA". From Rfam's summary of the family: Transfer RNA (tRNA) molecules are approximately 80 nucleotides in length. Their secondary structure includes four short double-helical elements and three loops (D, anti-codon, and T loops). Further hydrogen bonds mediate the characteristic L-shaped molecular structure. tRNAs have two regions of fundamental functional importance: the anti-codon, which is responsible for specific mRNA codon recognition, and the 3' end, to which the tRNAs corresponding amino acid is attached (by aminoacyl-tRNA synthetases). tRNAs cope with the degeneracy of the genetic code in two manners: having more than one tRNA (with a specific anti-codon) for a particular amino acid; and 'wobble' base-pairing, i.e. permitting non-standard base-pairing at the 3rd anti-codon position. Lineage: Bacteria; Bacillati; Chloroflexota. The record is from RNAcentral.